UACCAAUCCGCCCGAUAUCUUAUCGGGUGGCUAACGGAUGAAUACAUUUAAAAGCCGAUAACCGUUAAGCCAAACCGUUAGAGUAAAAAGCCGUCCAAUCCGCCCAAUGAACAUCCCUACCCAUAACUGGACGUGAACAACGCAACAAAAUAUACCCGGGAAAUUUAUCGACUCUCGACGGAGCUACGACCAGAACUUGGCCGGAAAACCCCGUCGGCAACCUCAGAUUACGACCUUCGGCAAACUCGGAAUUUGCCACAAACUCGAAUUCAAACCAAGUAAUGAAAUCAACGGAUUGUGACAAGGACUAACGAUUUGGAUCUGCUUCAUACCAUUUAGUGUGCCUUGUAGAGGAGUUUCAUAAUCCUCUCCGAAACUGGCUUAGCUAAUGGCAAAUGGAAGAAGCAGCGACGACUGUGGUGAUGAAAGCAGCAAAACAAAGAAAAUUAUCAGAUCUGAUGGUGCUGGAGCUCGGCGGCUAUGGAGGAUUUGGUUGCUGUGUGUUUGGUGACGGGCUGGUCACCAGUGUUCGGUUGUCAUGAGCGAGUUGAAGAAGAACAGUGGGGAAGGUCGUUCAUGGCCGCUGAAGUUUUUCUGGCGAGUAUGGUGGUCGACUUGCUCCGAUCUUAGAGAGGAGAGCUGCUGGGGUCGUUGCUGUGAGGAACUGAAGAGAACGACUGAAGGCCGGCUGCUCUGAUUUUGCUUCUCCUUUUUUUUUUCUCUUUCAAUUUUUGCCCGUCCUUUUUUGGUAGCUUUUCUAGUGUAUCUUUUUCUUAAGUCCUCUUUCUCAUUCGGCAGAGAAUGAUUUUAU
RNAcentral lists this long non-coding RNA (811 nucleotides) under Nicotiana benthamiana. RNAcentral's name for it is "long non-coding RNA (NBEN_LNC014108)". The record is from RNAcentral. Lineage: Eukaryota; Viridiplantae; Streptophyta; Magnoliopsida; Solanales; Solanaceae.